Mesoplodon densirostris (Blainville's beaked whale) is the source of this 836-nucleotide long non-coding RNA. RefSeq lists it as uncharacterized. Lineage: Eukaryota; Metazoa; Chordata; Mammalia; Artiodactyla; Ziphiidae. The transcript is spliced from 3 exons. The record is from RefSeq and is a predicted model, not a curated record.
UAAAAUUUUUUCUUUGAAACAUUGGUACUAUAAAUUAUAAGAGACAGGAGCCAUGUUUUCACAGCUCUGUUUCUUGAGCACCCAGCCCAAUGGUAUUGUGGAGAUGGAAUAACAAUCACCAUGAGCACAGGUCACUGCUGACAAAGGGACUUGCUUUCUCUCUAAACCAUUUGACUUUGUUGGUGCCCAGGGCAGGAUGCUCCAAAAUAUGCCUCAGUGGAAUAUUACUUUGAAUUAAAGUUACUGAAGAAAUGACUGAUGCAAGAGAGACACACUGACCUUCCUAUCUGUCUCCAUGAAAGCAGGAAAUUAGUAUCUCAUGUGAAUGGUGCCCUCCCUGUACCAGGAGGUAGAAAGACAUCAUUAGCACCAGAGAUAGGGAAUGCAGGGUCAAGAAGGCUGUAUAAACCUUGUUACUUCUUUAACUCAAGAAGGUUGGCAGGGACAUUUCUUCCUCCUCAACAGCUGACAAGACAACCAGGAGGCUGGCUAAACCCUGCUUCCCACCACAAGACUGCUGCAGCUGAGAGAUCCUAGGACACAUGACAAAGGCCAGCAGAAGCAAUGCCUCUUAUUAAAUACCUGAUUGUACAGUAAGCUUAACUUCUACUUGGAAAUACUGCUUUGGAAGAGAAAAUUAAGAAAAAAGCAUCAUUAAAAAAAAGACAAGGUUGGGCUUCCCUGGUGGCGCAGUGGUUGAGAGUCCGCCUGCCGAUGCAGGGGACACGGGUUCGUGCCCCGGUCCGGGAAGAUCCCACAUGCCGCGGAGCGGCUGGAGCCGUGAGCCAUGGCCGCUGACCCUGCGUGUCCGGAGCCUGUGCUCUGCAACGGGAGAG